CUGGCAGUAAACGGUGCACGCUUGGUGUGAGGGGAAUCGACCCCCCUUGUGCCGGAGCUAACGCGUUAAGCGUGCCGCCUGGGAAGUACGGUCGCAAGACUAAAACUCAAAGAAAUUGACGGGGACCCGCACAAGCGGUGGAGUAUGUGGCUUAAUUCGAUGCAACGCGAAGAACCUUACCUGGGCUUGACAUGCAUCUCUAAGCGCGUGAAAGCGCGCGACCCUUCGGGGGAUUUGCACAGGUGC
Molecule: ribosomal RNA, 246 nt
Filed under: uncultured Luteolibacter sp.
Lineage: Bacteria; Pseudomonadati; Verrucomicrobiota; Verrucomicrobiia; Verrucomicrobiales; Verrucomicrobiaceae
Description: partial 16S ribosomal RNA
Rfam family: Bacterial small subunit ribosomal RNA
Source: RNAcentral